CGACCCCAGGUCAGGCGGGAUUCACCC
RNAcentral lists this ribosomal RNA (27 nucleotides) under Nymphoides aurantiaca. RNAcentral describes it as "partial 26S ribosomal RNA". The record is from RNAcentral. Lineage: Eukaryota; Viridiplantae; Streptophyta; Magnoliopsida; Asterales; Menyanthaceae. RNAcentral also lists the same sequence under 1 other name.